This is a long non-coding RNA of Octopus sinensis (East Asian common octopus), 805 nucleotides long. RefSeq lists it as uncharacterized. Lineage: Eukaryota; Metazoa; Mollusca; Cephalopoda; Octopoda; Octopodidae. The transcript is spliced from 3 exons. The record is from RefSeq and is a predicted model, not a curated record.
UGCAAAAAUUUAUAAUUAAAAUUUUUGAAAAUAUAACAGUCAACGCUAAUUAUCCAAUCCAACUGUUUUGAUAAUCUGUGCUAUAAAAGUUGUUUGACUCAUCAUCUAGAUAAAAUUAAGGCAGCAUAAAGCUACUCUAUAUGUCUAGGUGGACUUGUUCUUGUAUAGACAUUAUUUAUGUAAACAUUCAGUUAGUACAAUUAUAUCUAUUUUUGAAAUGAAGCACUUAUUUUGUUCCAUAUAAUCACAAAUAGAAUCUGAAAUAAUACUUAUGGUGAUUUCUGUUACGGUUUGAAGUAACUCUGCCCUCUUUCACAUUAAAUAUUAUUGUUUGAAACGGAAGAAAUAAGCAAAUUAUGGCUAUAUUAUUAAUUGCACACAGUUAGUUUUCGCAUACUUACACUGUCUUUCCAUGUUGUGAUAUCCGAUGGAAUUGUAAUGAUUCCAGAAGAUUCUUUUACUAGGUUUCUUUGUGUUGCUACAAACUUGUAACAAAUAGCCACAAUCCCAUCUACAAUUGUUCUAUUGGUGUCAAUUGUCUUCUUUUAUUUACCCGUUUUCUUCAGGCUCCAUUUUACUUAACUUUCUCAUUUAACCAUGCAGCAAUAUUAGUUUUAUAUAUAUAUGUAUAUAUAUAUAUAUAUAUACAUACAUUCGCUACAUUGGAAAUCUGCAAUGGCUCCAUGACUACUGUCUUGGAUACAACCUUGGAGCCCUAGUAAUCCAUUACAGCACUUAUCUAACAGACCUAAUUAUUUAGAUCACCUAUGAACUAAACUUCCAUACUUUAUAUAUGUGUGUGUGU